This 368-nucleotide unclassified non-coding RNA is filed under the name soil metagenome. RNAcentral describes it as "partial contains 5.8S ribosomal RNA, internal transcribed spacer 2, and large subunit ribosomal RNA". The stretch from base 1 to 120 matches the Rfam family "5.8S ribosomal RNA", at positions 35 to 154 of the family's 154-position model. The record is from RNAcentral.
GAUGAAGAACGUAGCGAAAUGCGAUAAGUAAUGUGAAUUGCAGAAUUCAGUGAACCAUCGAAUCUUUGAACGCACAUUGCGCCCGGCAGUAAUCUGCCGGGCAUGCCUGUCCGAGCGUCAUUUCUGCCCUCGAGCGAGUCCAGCAUCUAGGUGCUGGGCCCGCCCGGCGUUGGGGCACUACGGGAAGCCCUGUGCUGUCCCCCGUAGGCCCCGAAAUGAAGUGGCGGUCCUGCCGCGGCGCCCCCUGCGUAGUAUAACAGCUCGCUUCGGGACCCGGUGGAGGCCUGCCGUCAAACCUUACUCUCUAAGUUUGACCUCGGAUCAGGUAGGGUUACCCGGUGAACUUAAGCAUAUCAAUAAGCGGAGGA